GACGAACGCUGGCGGCGUGCUUAACACAUGCAAGUCGAACGGGCCUUGUCCCCUUUUUUUUUGGGGGUGGGGUUAGUGGCGAACGGGUGAGUAACACGUGAGUAACCUGCCCCUCACUUCUGGAUAACCGCUUGAAAGGGUGGCUAAUACGGGGUGUUCUGGCCUGCUCGCAUGGGUGGGUUUGGAAAGAUUCGACCGGUUUUGGUUGUUUUGGUGGGGGAUGGGCUCGCGGCCUAUCAGCUUGUUGGUGGGGUGAUGGCCUGCCAAGGCUUUGACGGGUGGCCGGGCUGGGCGGGUGGGCGGUCACAGUGGGACUGAGGCCCGGGCCGGACUCCUAGAGGGGGCAGAAGUGGGGAAUAUGGCACAGGGGGGGCAAGCCUGAAGAGGGGGGCCGGGGGGGGGGGGGGGGGCCUGUGGGUGGUGAACCCCUUUCGGCUGUGAAAAAGGUCCUCCUUUUUGGGGGGGGGUUGGAGGGAGGUGGGUUAAGAAAGCCCCGGUAAAUUCGGG
Molecule: ribosomal RNA, 507 nt
Filed under: uncultured bacterium
Lineage: Bacteria
Description: partial 16S ribosomal RNA
Rfam family: Bacterial small subunit ribosomal RNA
Source: RNAcentral